This 497-nucleotide ribosomal RNA is filed under the name uncultured bacterium. Its description in RNAcentral is "partial 16S ribosomal RNA". It matches the Rfam family "Bacterial small subunit ribosomal RNA", at positions 28 to 507 of the family's 1533-position model. The record is from RNAcentral.
GAUGAACGCUGGCGGCGUGCCUAAUACAUGCAAGUCGAGCGAACAGACGAGGAGCUUGCUCCUCUGACGUUAGCGGCGGACGGGUGAGUAACACGUGGAUAACCUACCUAUAAGACUGGGAUAACUUCGGGAAACCGGAGCUAAUACCGGAUAAUAUAUUGAACCGCAUGGUUCAAUAGUGAAAGACGGUUUUGCUGUCACUUAUAGAUGGAUCCGCGCCGCAUUAGCUAGUUGGUAAGGUAACGGCUUACCAAGGCAACGAUGCGUAGCCGACCUGAGAGGUUGAUCGGCCAAACUGGAACUGAGACACGGUCCAGACUCCUACGGGAGGCAGCAGUAGGGAAUCUUCCGCAAUGGGCGAAAGCCUGACGGAGCAACGCCGCGUGAGUGAUGAAGGUCUUCGGAUCGUAAAACUCUGUUAUUAGGGAAGAACAAAUGUGUAAGUAACUAUGCACGUCUUGACGGUACCUAAUCAGAAAGCCACGGCUAACUACGUG